This is an RNA transcript of Chenopodium quinoa (quinoa), 1984 nucleotides long. It is a transcript of the gene named protein FAR1-RELATED SEQUENCE 3-like, with no coding region annotated. The transcript is spliced from 4 exons. NCBI's taxonomy places the organism in Eukaryota, Viridiplantae, Streptophyta, Magnoliopsida, Caryophyllales, Amaranthaceae. The record is from RefSeq and is a predicted model, not a curated record.
CCCACAAAUCAAUAACCCACGUACUUUGCAAAUUUUUAGCUGGACUCGCGUGCAGCUAUCACUAGCUGGUCCUGUUUCAAAAUGACGUCGUUUUGCCUUGGAGAGCCCAGCUGUAUUUUGUUUCUUCCUCUAAACGACGUCGUUCUUCCUAGCUCAUAAAUUCAAUUUUGUUUCAUAAUUAUUUUUGUUCCCAUAAUUGAGUAUAUAAAUCAUUUAAUUUGUUUCCAAUUAAAGCAUUUAAUUUCUUUCCAUUUAAUUCAGAAUUUCUCUCUCUUUUCAAUUUUACCGUAAUUUUUUUUUCUCAUUGUUCAAAUUCGAUUUUUGAUUUUCGAUUCUUUUGAAUAAAUCAAUAUUUUCGAUUCUUUUGGUUGUGAAUAACAAUGGAGUUUACUACUGAUUCUUCAUCUGGAAAUCUUCCUUCCUUAAUGGAUGAAUAAUGAUGGAGAAGUAUAAAUGUGAAGAUAAUGAUUGGUUUAAUGAUUUGUACCAAAUGAAAGAGAGGUGGUGCCCAGCAUAUUUGAAGGAUUACUUUUCUAGCGGUGUUUUGCCUUCACAAAGAAGUGAAUCAACAAAUAAUUCUUGAUGUUAUAUGAUUUCUAUCAUACAUUUCUUGAUGUUAUAUCAGACUGGAGGAACAAGGAAAAAGGUUUAGGCUUUCGGUUUUAAAGGGAUAAUAGACACUUAGCUGUUGUUAAUGUGCCUAUGCUUGUUGAUCAUGCUCGAGAGAUUUUCAUAAUUCAGAUUUAUGUGUUGUUUGAAGAGCAAUUUGCCAAAGGUAUUGCAUGCAAUCAGUAACAAAUUUUGGUAAAUUAUCCUUUUUUUUACCUACUUGGUGUGGAGGCCUACCAUUGAUCUUAUAAGGCAUGAGGUUAAGUUUAACAAAGACACAUAUUCUGUUCAAUGUACAUGUAAGUACUUUAGUGAAAUGGGUUUACUAUGUGCUCAUUCACUUCGUAUUUACAAUGUGCAUUGUGUGUGUAAGAUUCAUGAAGAGUAUAUCUUUAAAAGGUGGACAAAAUCAGCUAUGUGCAGCCAGCCUGUUGAUGAAAAAUAUAUGCAAUCUAAUAAAGGAGCACCAUUAUUAUCAAAGUUAGUUUGUUUGGUUACUUCUUGUCAAGAUUGUGCUCAAGCAAGGGUUCAAAUUGACAUGGCUUUUGAUUUGGUUAAGAAACAGUUGAGUAAAUGAUAGGAGAUAUUGAUUUUACCAACCUUGAUGAUGAUAUUUCAACAUAAAAAAUUCAAGAUCGAAGAGGAAAAAGGGAGGUAGGAAUGAGAGGCUGAAGAGUACUGUGGAAAAAGAGUGUAAUAAAGCUAAGGGUUGGAAGAAGAGAAUAGAGAAAUAUACUGAAAUGGUUACGUUUAAUUUUUAGACAUAUAGGUUUCUAAAGAUGAACAAUUUAUGAAUUCAUAUGAUCAAUUUUAUUUUUGAACAAAUUUUUUUUUGGAUUUUAUAGGAUUUUGAUAAUAAUGGUGCUCCUUUGAUUUAUUCAAAUUCUAGCAUUAAAGGAUCAAGGUUGGUUGUUUUACACAAGGCUAUUACUCAAUCAAGUGAAGGAAACAAACUUUAUAAGGAUAAGGUAAGUAUAUGAACAUUUCAAAUUUCUAUUAUGAACAUUUCAUAUUUUUAAUAUAUAGGUUGGUGAUGGAAUUGCUACUCAGUCAAAAGAUGCAACUCAGGAUAAGAAUAGUAAGCAUUUUAAGACUGGAGGUGGUAAAGAAGCAUAUUUCAACGAAGUUCUAUCAAAGUUUAAUCAAUGAAUAAUACUUUAGGAUUUCUGCCAAUUAUUGAAGUAUACUAUACUUGGUUUGAAGCAUACUAUACUUAAUUUGAAGCAUUACAUUAUCCUUCAAGAUAUUGGAAUUUGUUUUGAGCAUACAAUAAAUUUUUACUAGUGAAGAAAAUAUGUGACUAGAGUAUACUUGAUAUUCAUAUUGAUGUAAAGAACAAAGUUAUAGAUACAGUAUUAUAGCUUUUUUGGUAUCA